CAGAGUUUAGAGUUAUCAAAACCAAACAUUCAUUGUUCAGAUGGGGUACCUGAAGCCCAGACAAUGGCGGAGAAUUGGUCAAGGUCACACAGGAAGUGGGCGCCAGGGAGGGGAUAAGGCUUCAGGUCUCUUGUCUCCUCUCCAUGUCUUGGCCAAUUACAGUAUUUCAGCCAUGGGCUGGAAUCGGAGAUAACCCGCGAUGGCUGAUUUUCCAUGGGUAUUCAAACAGAGAGGAUCAAGAUGAAGACUUUUCCUCUGGCUUUUCCUUUCCAGAAACCUCUCUUCUCAAGGUCCCCAUCAAGAGAGCAGAUGGAAGGAGGGGAGAAUGGCCAUGGCCCAUCUUGCUGUCUCUUGGCAGUGCUGGAACCUCCAUGAACUGUUUCCUCUUAGGACUGAUGUAUUCAGGGCUGAGGUCACAGUUUGCGAAGAGGAGCACAGGGGGAUGGUACCCAGGGAUCUGGGGCUCAACUGGGAAGGCAAGGAGGAGAGGAAAAUACCUUAGGGGGAACGGAACCUUCACUAGCUCCCUAUUGCCUUUGUCAUAAAACUCCCAGCUCUCAGUGACCUGGCCCCAUCCCACCUGCCUACCAGAGCAUCUGCUGUGUGCCUACCCUUGCGCUGGAGGGAGCCAGGAGAAGGAGAGCAGGUGGUCUCUGCUCUCAGAGAAUUUUCUAUGCAGUAGGGAGGUGUCCAGCUCAGAUGGCUUUGUCCCCGCAUUUGUAACUGGGCAGAAGCUGGGGCCCGGAUGUUUCUGGUUGGAGGAUCCCGAGAACAACGCCCCCGCCCCCCACCCCACCGCCCAUGCCUUUGCAGUCUCUGAAUUGCACGUGGGGGCAGAGAUGCCUCCUGAGAAAAUCACCCACAGGUUUCACAGGAAGAAUCAUUUGGGGUUGGGAGGGACUGAGACACAUCAAAUAAAAUAUUUUCAAACCCAAGCAAUGCUUAAAUCCCCUUUUAAAAUAAAAAUAUUUUCCAAGAACUCUCCCCCACUUCUGUUGACUCAAGUAAUUUCUGUCAUCGUGUUACUUAAGUAUGUACCAACAUGAAGGCCGGAGGAAAAUCCAUCUGCUUAUGGCUCUUGCACGACUAUGAAAGCAAAACAAAUGGACAAGUUAGAGAAUGGCCA
RNAcentral lists this long non-coding RNA (1126 nucleotides) under Equus caballus (horse). RNAcentral describes it as "lncRNA (ENSECAG00000059544.1)". The record is from RNAcentral. Lineage: Eukaryota; Metazoa; Chordata; Mammalia; Perissodactyla; Equidae.